RNAcentral lists this ribosomal RNA (254 nucleotides) under uncultured bacterium. RNAcentral's name for it is "partial 16S ribosomal RNA". It matches the Rfam family "Bacterial small subunit ribosomal RNA", at positions 524 to 776 of the family's 1533-position model. The record is from RNAcentral.
UACGUAGGGUGCGAGCGUUAAUCGGAAUUACUGGGCGUAAAGCGUGCGCAGGCGGUUUUGUAAGCCAGAUGUGAAAUCCCCGGGCUCAACCUGGGAAUUGCAUUUGUGACUGCACGGCUAGAGUGUGUCAGAGGGGGGUAGAAUUCCACGUGUAGCAGUGAAAUGCGUAGAGAUGUGGAGGAAUACCGAUGGCGAAGGCAGCCCCCCUGGGAUAACACUGACGCUCAUGCACGAAAGCGUGGGGAGCAAACAGG